AAGCUUCCUUGUUUGUGGUUUCCUCUGCCUGGAAUGCUGUUAACCAAAAUACUCUCCCUCACUUGAUUCAGGUAAAAUGCAAUCUCUGAAGCAAAAACAGCCCAUAAUUAUAGGCCAAACAUUGGAAUCAGUGACUUGUUCCCCUAGACUUGGCAAAGGCCCAGAUGACUCUUCAAGACACAGUGGCACAGUGGAAUCCUCUUGCUGCACAACAGCUUGCUUAGAACUGUGAAACCUAAUCCCUCAAGAAGAUUUCCUUCCUGCUCCCACGUUUCUCCCGACUGGAGAUCGCCCCAAACGUCACUGGAAUCCUGAACUGCAGCUACAGCUACAUUGAAGUAUCUGA
This is a long non-coding RNA of Ailuropoda melanoleuca (giant panda), 346 nucleotides long. RefSeq lists it as uncharacterized. Lineage: Eukaryota; Metazoa; Chordata; Mammalia; Carnivora; Ursidae. The record is from RefSeq and is a predicted model, not a curated record. The transcript has 3 exons.